RNAcentral lists this ribosomal RNA (430 nucleotides) under uncultured bacterium. RNAcentral describes it as "bacterial SSU rRNA". It matches the Rfam family "Bacterial small subunit ribosomal RNA", at positions 29 to 507 of the family's 1533-position model. The record is from RNAcentral.
AACGAACGCUGGCGGCAGGCCUAACACAUGCAAGUCGAGCGCACCUUCGGGUGAGCGGCGGACGGGUUAGUAACGCGUGGGAACGUACCCUUCUCUACGGAAUAGCCUCGGGAAACUGAGAGUAAUACCGUAUACGCCCUUUGGGGGAAAGAUUUAUCGGAGAAGGAUCGGCCCGCGUUGGAUUAGGUAGUUGGUGGGGUAAUGGCCUACCAAGCCUACGAUCCAUAGCUGGUUUGAGGGGAUGAUCAGCAACACUGGGACUGAGACACGGCCCAGGCUCCUACGGGAGGCAGCAGUGGGGAAUCUUAGACAAUGGGGGAAACCCUGAUCUAGCCAUGCCGCGUGAGUGAUGAAGGCCUUAGGGUCGUAAAGCUCUUUCGCUGGGGAAGAUAAUGACUGUACCCAGUAAAGAAACCCGGCUAACUCCGUG